AAUAGAUACCCUGGUAGUCCACGCCGUAAACGAUGAGUGCUAAGUGUUAGGAGGGUUUCCGCCCUUUAGGUGCUGAAGUUAACGCAUUAAGCACUCCGCCUGGGGAGUACGGCCGCAAGGCUGAAACUCAAAGGAAUUGACGGGGGCCCGCACAAGCGGUGGAGCAUGUGGUUUAAUUCGAAGCAACGCGAAGAACCUUACCAGGUCUUGACAUCCUCUGACAACCCUAGAGAUAGGGCUUCUCCUUCGGGAGCAGAGUGACAGGUGGUGCAUGGUUGUCGUCAGCUCGUGUCGUGAGAUGUUGGGUUAAGUCCCGCAACGAGCGCAACCCUUGAUCUUAGUUGCCAUCAUUCAGUUGGGCACUCUAAGGUGACUGCCGGUGACAAACCGGAGGAAGGUGGGGAUGACGUCAAAUCAUCAUGCCCCUUAUGACCUGGGCUACACACGUGCUACAAUGGACGGUACAAAGAGCUGCAAGACCGCGAGGUGGAGCUAAUCUCAUAAAACCGUUCUCAGUUCGGAUUGUAGG
RNAcentral lists this ribosomal RNA (529 nucleotides) under uncultured bacterium. RNAcentral describes it as "bacterial SSU rRNA". It matches the Rfam family "Bacterial small subunit ribosomal RNA", at positions 777 to 1304 of the family's 1533-position model. The record is from RNAcentral.